This 187-nucleotide microRNA precursor is filed under the name Oryza brachyantha (malo sina). RNAcentral describes it as "MIR812 microRNA precursor family". It matches the Rfam family "MIR812 microRNA precursor family". Lineage: Eukaryota; Viridiplantae; Streptophyta; Magnoliopsida; Poales; Poaceae. The record is from Rfam by way of RNAcentral.
AAUAAGUUCAUUUUUAGUUUUUGGUACGAUCUUUGACUUUUCGUCUUAUUUAAAUUUUUUCGCGAUUAACAUUUUUAUUUUUGUUAGAUGAUAAAACAUAAAUAACGCUUUACGUGUGGCUAUUUUUUAGUUUAUUUAUAAAUUUUUAAAUAAGACUGAUAGUCAAACGCUCAACACAUAAACUAAU